UCAUCAUUUGUCAGGGUUCAGUUGUAGGGA
RNAcentral lists this non-coding RNA (30 nucleotides) under Mus musculus (house mouse). Lineage: Eukaryota; Metazoa; Chordata; Mammalia; Rodentia; Muridae. The record is from RNAcentral.